RNAcentral lists this ribosomal RNA (444 nucleotides) under uncultured bacterium. Its description in RNAcentral is "SSU rRNA". It matches the Rfam family "Bacterial small subunit ribosomal RNA", at positions 26 to 518 of the family's 1533-position model. The record is from RNAcentral.
AGAACGAACGCUGGCGGCAGGCCUAAUACAUGCAAGUCGAACGCACUCUUCGGAGUGAGUGGCAGACGGGUGAGUAACGCGUGGGAACCUUCCCAAUGGUACGGAAUAACUCCGGGAAACCGAUGCUAAUACCGUAUAAGCCCCUCGGGGGAAAGAUUUAUCGCCAUUGGAUGGGCCCGCGUCGGAUUAGCUAGUUGGUAAGGUAAUGGCUUACCAAGGCUACGAUCCGUAGCUGGCCUGAGAGGAUGAUCAGCCACACUGGGACUGAGACACGGCCCAGACUCCUACGGGAGGCAGCAGCAGGGAAUCUUGCGCAAUGGGCGAAAGCCUGACGCAGCAACGCCGCGUGGGGGAUGAAGGCCUUCGGGUUGUAAACCCCGUUUCAGGAGGAAGAAUUGACGGUACCUCCAAAGAAGCCCCGGCCAACUACGUGCCAGCAGCCGC